AUGUUCAGUUCUGAACUAAAACUUAGAGGUAUAUACAGUAUACUCGCAGCACACAGACGAAUGCAAUCCAAGCAAUCAACAAUUGAACACAUUAAGAAUUUCGCGAGCCAGGAAAUGGCCAUCCUGCACGGAUCUAGCCCUCACCUGCCUGUAAUCAGAGAACACCUUGUACUGCCAGAAAAUGGCCACUGUGCGGUAAAAAUACGGGAAAAUGGUAAGGCCAUGAAGAGAAUUAGGUUGGGAUUAAGAUUAGCUCUCUUGACGUUUUACCAUUCUAGGGCGCCACAGAAGAGCUCUGAGGACGGAAGCCGCCCCGCCCCGCUCUAG
RNAcentral lists this ribosomal RNA (327 nucleotides) under Triticum aestivum (bread wheat). RNAcentral describes it as "partial small subunit ribosomal RNA". Lineage: Eukaryota; Viridiplantae; Streptophyta; Magnoliopsida; Poales; Poaceae. The record is from RNAcentral.